RNAcentral lists this ribosomal RNA (362 nucleotides) under uncultured alga. RNAcentral describes it as "bacterial LSU rRNA". It matches the Rfam family "Bacterial large subunit ribosomal RNA", at positions 2098 to 2465 of the family's 2925-position model. The record is from RNAcentral.
GCUUGACUGUAUCUUGGAAUUGGUCGGGCUUUCUUGCGCAGACUAGGUGGGAGGCUAUGAAGAUUUUCUUCUGGGAAAGUUGGAGCAACAGUGAGAGACCACUCUGGAAAGGCUAGAUCCUAAAUGGUGAUCCUUGAAUCAGGAACUUGACAGUUUCAGGUGGGCAGUUUUUCUGGGGCGGAAGCCUCAUAAAAGGUAACUGAGGCGCGCAAAGGUCCCCUCAGUCUGGACGGAAUCAGACAUUGAGUGUAAAGGCAAAAGGGGGCUUGACUGCAAGACCACAAGUCGAGCAGGGCGCGAAAGCUGGCCUUAGUGAUCCGACGGUGCCGUGUGGAAGGCCGUCGCUCAACGAAUAAAGUUAU